RNAcentral lists this ribosomal RNA (451 nucleotides) under Derostenus gemmeus. RNAcentral's name for it is "eukaryotic LSU rRNA". Lineage: Eukaryota; Metazoa; Arthropoda; Insecta; Hymenoptera; Eulophidae. The record is from RNAcentral.
CCUGAGAAACCCAAAAGAUCGAAUGGGGAGAUUCAUCGUCAGCGUGGCUGGCUUCCGUGCGGUUCGCGAUGGCCGGGACCUAGUCUUGGGUCACGCGUCCGCUGCGGUAUGUCCGAUCACGUCGGCGUGCACUUCUCCCCUAGUAGGACGUCGCGACCCGUUGGGUGUCGGACCGAUGGCCGUUUGGUCGCCUGUCUCGUCGCGUUCACGCGNGNACGUGGCAGACCGAAAUGGCCGAGCGUCCGGCUGCCCGGCGGUAUAGAACGCUAUUGAACGGUAAUGAGCCGCAUUAAGUGCGUUCAGGCUCGUCGGCAGGCUCGUCUCGCCCGGAUUUACGGACCUAGCGCCGUUGCCGGGUGCUUGGCGUGGCUGUUAGUCGACGAUGUCCUCGGACUGGCUCUAAAAUUCGAAAGGAUUACCGGUCGGCGACGCUACUGCUUUGGGUACUUUC